CUCUGCAGUGAUGGUAACCAUCUUUCGGGUCAUAAAACUGAUGUUGACAAUUUUCUCUGCUGAGCAAAG
This is a small nucleolar RNA of Lineus longissimus, 69 nucleotides long. RefSeq annotates it as small nucleolar RNA SNORD2. The transcript has a single exon. The record is from RefSeq and is a predicted model, not a curated record. NCBI's taxonomy places the organism in Eukaryota, Metazoa, Nemertea, Pilidiophora, Heteronemertea, Lineidae.